GUUUAUCCCCACGAUUAUCUUUUCGCAGUUAGUGAAAACGAGUGGUGUAUCGGUUGGCAGGACAGUGGAAUGCAGACAAAGGAUGGAAAGGAAAUAACUCUCUUAGGAGAUCUUGUGUUAUCCAACAAGCUUGUGCUUUAUGAUCUUGAAAACCAGAGUAUUGGCUGGACCGAAUAUAACUGCUCUUCGAGCAUCAAAGUCAGAGAUGGAACUUCUGGGAAGGUGUAUACUGUAG
This 235-nucleotide unclassified non-coding RNA is filed under the name Hevea brasiliensis (rubber tree). Lineage: Eukaryota; Viridiplantae; Streptophyta; Magnoliopsida; Malpighiales; Euphorbiaceae. The record is from RNAcentral.